GCACGCUACAAUAAGGCGGAUAAGGUGCCAGAGGAGUAUGACCUGUAUGCCAUGGCCCACACUGGCCCUUACAAGAAAGUCAAGGCAUUCUCUGCGUCUGACCUCGAUGAUCCAAAGAACUUCACCAACAUCUCCGCCCAUGACAAGCUCGUGCAAUAUAGAGAUCAGGGGAAGGCGAGGAAAGGGGAGGACUUUAACCCGAGCCAGGGUCCCAUUGAUACAGAGCUGCUGAUGAUAUCCAUUGUCCUAGCACUCUCCGGGAGAUCAAGGCGCGCCAGUCGAGCUCCGCUCCUGAGAUAA
RNAcentral lists this ribosomal RNA (300 nucleotides) under Triticum aestivum (bread wheat). RNAcentral describes it as "partial small subunit ribosomal RNA". Lineage: Eukaryota; Viridiplantae; Streptophyta; Magnoliopsida; Poales; Poaceae. The record is from RNAcentral.